UACGUAGGGUGCGAGCGUUAAUCGGAAUUACUGGGCGUAAAGCGUGCGCAGGCGGUUCGUCGUGUCGGUGGUGAAAUCCCCGGGCUUAACCUGGGAAUGGCCAUGGAAACUGGCGAACUGGAGUGCGGCAGAGGGGGGUGGAAUUCCGCGUGUAGCAGUGAAAUGCGUAGAGAUGCGGAGGAACACCGAUGGCGAAGGCAGCUCACAAAACUAUAACUGACGCUGAGGCACGAAAGCGUGGGUAUCAAACAGG
Molecule: ribosomal RNA, 253 nt
Filed under: uncultured bacterium
Lineage: Bacteria
Description: partial 16S ribosomal RNA
Rfam family: Bacterial small subunit ribosomal RNA
Source: RNAcentral